Molecule: ribosomal RNA, 580 nt
Filed under: uncultured bacterium
Lineage: Bacteria
Description: partial 16S ribosomal RNA
Rfam family: Bacterial small subunit ribosomal RNA
Source: RNAcentral
UGGGGAAUUUUGGACAAUGGGCGAAAGCCUGAUCCAGCAAUGCCGCGUGUGUGAAGAAGGCCUUCGGGUUGUAAAGCACUUUUGUCCGGAAAGAAAUCCUUGGCUCUAAUACAGUCGGGGGAUGACGGUACCGGAAGAAUAAGCACCGGCUAACUACGUGCCAGCAGCCGCGGUAAUACGUAGGGUGCAAGCGUUAAUCGGAAUUACUGGGCGUAAAGCGUGCGCAGGCGGUUUGCUAAGACCGAUGUGAAAUCCCCGGGCGUCAACCUGGGAACUGCAUUGGUGACUGGCAGGCUAGAGUAUGGCAGAGGGGGGUAGAAUUCCACGUGUAGCAGUGAAAUGCGUAGAGAUGUGGAGGAAUACCGAUGGCGAAGGCAGCCCCCUGGGCCAAUACUGACGCUCAUGCACGAAAGCGUGGGGAGCAAACAGGAUUAGAUACCCUGGUAGUCCACGCCCUAAACGAUGUCAACUAGUUGUUGGGGAUUCAUUUCCUUAGUAACGUAGCUAACGCGUGAAGUUGACCGCCUGGGGAGUACGGUCGCAAGAUUAAAACUUAAAUGAAUUGACGGGGUCAUAGCUG